AGUAACGCGUGAGGAACCUGCCUUUCAGCGGGGGACAACAGUUGGAAACGACUGCUAAUACCGCAUAAGCCCACGGCUCGGCAUCGAGCAGAGGGAAAAGGAGUGAUCCGCUUUGAGAUGGCCUCGCGUCCGAUUAGCUAGUUGGUGAGGUAAUGGCCCACCAAGGCGACGAUCGGUAGCCGGACUGAGAGGUUGAACGGCCACAUUGGGACUGAGACACGGCCCAG
RNAcentral lists this ribosomal RNA (227 nucleotides) under uncultured bacterium. Its description in RNAcentral is "partial 16S ribosomal RNA". It matches the Rfam family "Bacterial small subunit ribosomal RNA", at positions 109 to 334 of the family's 1533-position model. The record is from RNAcentral.